RNAcentral lists this small nuclear RNA (105 nucleotides) under Microtus ochrogaster (prairie vole). Lineage: Eukaryota; Metazoa; Chordata; Mammalia; Rodentia; Cricetidae. The record is from RNAcentral.
GCUUCUGGUUUUGGCAGCAUGCUUCUAAAACUGGAACCAUUACAGAGAUUAGUAUAGCUCCCGUGUAAGAAUGACAUAUAAAUUCUUAAACCAUUCGCAUUUUAA